RNAcentral lists this long non-coding RNA (314 nucleotides) under Ananas comosus (pineapple). Its description in RNAcentral is "long non-coding RNA (ACOM_LNC016158)". The record is from RNAcentral. Lineage: Eukaryota; Viridiplantae; Streptophyta; Magnoliopsida; Poales; Bromeliaceae.
UCUUCAAUAUUGUUUACAACCUAAUCAAUCUACAUUGCUAGUCACUUUUACCCCUUAAUGAUGUUGAUUUGUUUCUUUAAGGUUUCUUCAAUAUUGUUUACAACCUAAUCAAUCUACAUUGCUAGUCACUUUUACUUUUCCGACAAAGGAUUUGGUGGCUGGUAUCUGAAGUUCCAAGUUCGAAUCCUAGUUGAUUUAUAUUUCCAGCUAAAUUUAUUUCUAAAUGAAAUAAACGAAGCUGGGAGUAUACUACUUAUCUCUAAAAGAAAAAACUUUUACUUUUAUGACUGCUGUCACUUUAAAAUGAUAAUAUU